Armigeres subalbatus is the source of this 931-nucleotide long non-coding RNA. RefSeq lists it as uncharacterized. The transcript is spliced from 3 exons. The record is from RefSeq and is a predicted model, not a curated record. Lineage: Eukaryota; Metazoa; Arthropoda; Insecta; Diptera; Culicidae.
GUGAUGAAGAAUUUGUCACUAAAAGGCAUAUUUCCCUGGUCUGUUUGUUCUUCGCUCACAAGCUACAAUCCCUUACAACGACAGACUAUUGCUUUAUGUGUUCGAGUAUUGAGUAUUGGUUAUUCUACUUUUAACGGAAAGAGACAGACCGACGACAGAAACAUCUACAUUCGUUCACAUCAACUUCGCACUCUCUCUAACUUAAUUUGCUCUCCAUGGACGAUACUAUUUGAUCUUGACCUUCUACACUACCUAUUAUCACUAUCAACCGACGCGGACAAGCUGAGAAUGCGGUUUGCUUCGAGUGAAUACGCGUGAUGCCGUAUUCGAAUUUUGGAACGUGCUUUUGGACUUCGUUAAAUCCGUUGCAGCAACUUCAUUGACCUGGGCAUUUCUACCACGGGCCACACUGUCUUUGGAUAGAGAUCUUACUCCGGCACCGGUCAUGGCGUUCUUAUAAUCAAACCGGAGAUUACGCCAGAUGAUAUUGAACUUCCUGCGGUCCGAGAUUGAACGAGUCAUCGAAUGGAAAAUUUUCAUCAUAUCGUGAAGAUAAUCAGUAAAUUUUUCCCCCCUAGACUGCCGUCUCUCAGUUGCUUGUACUUCCAGCUGAAAGUCCAAAUCGGGUGGCAAAAAUUCCCGUUUUAAUUCUUUUUUCAGCUCAUGCCAAUUCCGAAAAUCCCUAUUCUCGGUUCCCUCAAUGAACCAGUCUUUUGCGCGCCCCGCAAAAAGAUGAAUGGCACUCCUGUAUAGCUCUUUCUCUGUGAUGUCCUCAGAGAUGCAUCUCAUUUUAACUUCCUUUAGGAACUCAGUUAGCUUUCUUCCCUGAUCUUUUCCAUCAUACUUUAAUCUCCAUUCAGCUACCGGAAUUCUCUUCAAUUCCCUCUUUCUUCUACCUUCUCUCCUCCCUCUCUCCCUUUUAUGUCCUACA